Molecule: long non-coding RNA, 226 nt
Organism: Cyclopterus lumpus (lumpfish)
Lineage: Eukaryota; Metazoa; Chordata; Actinopteri; Perciformes; Cyclopteridae
Exons: 3
Source: RefSeq, a predicted model, not a curated record
CCUGGGUAAAUAACCAGGAGGACUCCCGAGAGCUGGCUCCAUCAGGCAUACAAUCAAAGAAAAAAAGGCUUUUGAAAACGGUGUGCCAUCUAAAGAACUCUGCAGAGUCCCUUGAUAACAACACGAAAAAAGCCCCAAGAACACCGAAGAAGAAGCAGAAGAAGCAGCAGCAGAAGAAGCAGAAGAAGAAACAACAGACCACAUCACUGCCUGGAAAAGAGUUCAC